This 535-nucleotide ribosomal RNA is filed under the name uncultured bacterium. RNAcentral describes it as "bacterial SSU rRNA". It matches the Rfam family "Bacterial small subunit ribosomal RNA", at positions 8 to 526 of the family's 1533-position model. The record is from RNAcentral.
AGGGUUUGAUCAUGGCUCAGGAUGAACGCUGGCGGCGUGCUUAACACAUGCAAGUCGAACGGAGCUAUGACACGGAGUCUUCGGAUGAAGUGCUAUUGCUUAGUGGCGGACGGGUGAGUAACACGUGAGCAACCUACCUUUUGCAGGGGAAUAACUCUGGGAAACCAGAGCUAAUACCGCAUGCCGUGCGCUUGGGGCAUCCCAGGUGCAUGAGAGGAGCAAUCCGGCAGAAGAUGGGCUCGCGUCCGAUUAGGUAGUUGGAGAGGUAAUGGCUCCCCAAGCCGACGAUCGGUAGCCGGACUGAGAGGUCGAUCGGCCACAUUGGGACUGAGACACGGCCCAGACUCCUACGGGAGGCAGCAGUGGGGAAUAUUGGGCAAUGGGCGGAAGCCUGACCCAGCGACGCCGCGUGAAGGAUGAGGGCCUUCGGGUUGUAAACCUCUUUCGCUGGGUUGAAAGGCCAUGCUUUGGGUGUGGUUGAUUUGAACUGGUAAAGAAGUACCGGCUAACUACGUGCCAGCAGCCGCGGUAAUUC